UUAAGCGACUAAGCGUACACGGUGGAUGCCCUGGCAGUCAGAGGCGAUGAAGGGCGUGCUAAUCUGCGAUAAGCGCCGGUAAGGUGAUAUGAACCGUUAUAACCGGCGAUACCCGAAUGGGGAAACCCAGUGUGACUCGUCACACUAUCAUUAACUGAAUCCAUAGGUUAAUGAGGCGAACCGGGGGAACUGAAACAUCUAAGUACCCCGAGGAAAAGAAAUCAACCGAGAUUCCCCCAGUAGCGGCGAGCGAACGGGGAGGAGCCCAGAGCCUGAAUCAGCAUGUGUGUUAGUGGAAGCGUCUGGAAAGGUGCGCGAUACAGGGUGACAGCCCCGUACACAAAAGCGCAUGUGCUGUGAGCUCGAUGAGUAGGGCGGGACACGUGGUAUCCUGUCUGAAUAUGGGGGGACCAUCCUCCAAGGCUAAAUACUCCUGACUGACCGAUAGUGAACCAGUACCGUGAGGGAAAGGCGAAAAGAACCCCGGCGAGGGGAGUGAAAAAGAACCUGAAACCGUGUACGUACAAGCAGUGGGAGCACCCUUCGGGGUGUGACUGCGUACCUUUUGUAUAAUGGGUCAGCGACUUAUAUUCUGUAGCAAGGUUAACCGUAUAGGGGAGCCGGAGGGAAACCGAGUCUUAAUUGGGCGUUAAGUUGCAGGGUAUAGACCCGAAACCCGGUGAUCUAGCCAUGGGCAGGUUGAAGGUUGGGUAACACUAACUGGAGGACCGAACCGACUAAUGUUGAAAAAUUAGCGGAUGACCUGUGGCUGGGGGUGAAAGGCCAAUCAAACCGGGAGAUAGCUGGUUCUCCCCGAAAGCUAUUUAGGUAGCGCCUCGUGAAUUCAUCUCCGGGGGUAGAGCACUGUUUCGGCUAGGGGGCCAUCCCGGCUUACCAACCCGAUGCAAACUGCGAAUACCGGAGAAUGUUAUCACGGGAGACACACGGCGGGUGCUAACGUCCGUCGUGAAGAGGGAAACAACCCAGACCGCCAGCUAAGGUCCCAAAGUCAUGGUUAAGUGGGAAACGAUGUGGGAAGGCCCAGACAGCCAGGAUGUUGGCUUAGAAGCAGCCAUCAUUUAAAGAAAGCGUAAUAGCUCACUGGUCGAGUCGGCCUGCGCGGAAGAUGUAACGGGGCUAAACCAUGCACCGAAGCUGCGGCAGCGAACGUAUCACCCAAGACAACUUUACGGAGUUGACGAUUGACGGAGCGAAGCGACGUCAAAGCGUUCAUUAAAGUCGAGUUGGCUUAGGGAUACGUUCGUUGGGUAGGGGAGCGUUCUGUAAGCCUGUGAAGGUGUGUCGUGAGGCAUGCUGGAGGUAUCAGAAGUGCGAAUGCUGACAUAAGUAACGAUAAAGCGGGUGAAAAGCCCGCUCGCCGGAAGACCAAGGGUUCCUGUCCAACGUUAAUCGGGGCAGGGUGAGUCGACCCCUAAGGCGAGGCCGAAAGGCGUAGUCGAUGGGAAACGGGUUAAUAUUCCCGUACUUGGUGUUACUGCGAAGGGGGGACGGAGAAGGCUAUGUUGGCCGGGCGACGGUUGUCCCGGUUUAAGCGUGUAGGUGUGUGUUCCAGGUAAAUCCGGUUCACUUUAACACUGAGGCGUGACGACGAGGCACUACGGUGCUGAAGCAACAAAUGCCCUGCUUCCAGGAAAAGCCUCUAAGCAUCAGGUAACACGAAAUCGUACCCCAAACCGACACAGGUGGUCAGGUAGAGAAUACCAAGGCGCUUGAGAGAACUCGGGUGAAGGAACUAGGCAAAAUGGUGCCGUAACUUCGGGAGAAGGCACGCUGACACGUAGGUGAAGUGAUUUACUCAUGGAGCUGAAGUCAGUCGAAGAUACCAGCUGGCUGCAACUGUUUAUUAAAAACACAGCACUGUGCAAACACGAAAGUGGACGUAUACGGUGUGACGCCUGCCCGGUGCCGGAAGGUUAAUUGAUGGGGUCAGCGUAAGCGAAGCUCCUGAUCGAAGCCCCGGUAAACGGCGGCCGUAACUAUAACGGUCCUAAGGUAGCGAAAUUCCUUGUCGGGUAAGUUCCGACCUGCACGAAUGGCGUAAUGAUGGCCAGGCUGUCUCCACCCGAGACUCAGUGAAAUUGAACUCGCUGUGAAGAUGCAGUGUACCCGCGGCAAGACGGAAAGACCCCGUGAACCUUUACUAUAGCUUGACACUGAACAUUGAGCCUUGAUGUGUAGGAUAGGUGGGAGGCUUUGAAGUGUGGACGCCAGUCUGCAUGGAGCCGACCUUGAAAUACCACCCUUUAAUGUUUGAUGUUCUAACGUGGACCCGUAAUCCGGGUUGCGGACAGUGUCUGGUGGGUAGUUUGACUGGGGCGGUCUCCUCCUAAAGAGUAACGGAGGAGCACGAAGGUUGGCUAAUCCUGGUCGGACAUCAGGAGGUUAGUGCAAUGGCAUAAGCCAGCUUGACUGCGAGCGUGACGGCGCGAGCAGGUGCGAAAGCAGGUCAUAGUGAUCCGGUGGUUCUGAAUGGAAGGGCCAUCGCUCAACGGAUAAAAGGUACUCCGGGGAUAACAGGCUGAUACCGCCCAAGAGUUCAUAUCGACGGCGGUGUUUGGCACCUCGAUGUCGGCUCAUCACAUCCUGGGGCUGAAGUAGGUCCCAAGGGUAUGGCUGUUCGCCAUUUAAAGUGGUACGCGAGCUGGGUUUAGAACGUCGUGAGACAGUUCGGUCCCUAUCUGCCGUGGGCGCUGGAGAACUGAGGGGGGCUGCUCCUAGUACGAGAGGACCGGAGUGGACGCAUCACUGGUGUUCGGGUUGUCAUGCCAAUGGCACUGCCCGGUAGCUAAAUGCGGAAGAGAUAAGUGCUGAAAGCAUCUAAGCACGAAACUUGCCCCGAGAUGAGUUCUCCCUGAGACUUAGAGUCUCCUGAAGGAACGUUGAAGACGACGACGUUGAUAGGCCGGGUGUGUAAGCGCAGCGAUGCGUUGAGCUAACCGGUACUAAUGAACCGUGAGGCUUAACCUU
Molecule: ribosomal RNA, 2988 nt
Filed under: Salmonella enterica subsp. enterica serovar Typhimurium
Lineage: Bacteria; Pseudomonadati; Pseudomonadota; Gammaproteobacteria; Enterobacterales; Enterobacteriaceae
Description: bacterial LSU rRNA
Rfam family: Bacterial large subunit ribosomal RNA
Source: RNAcentral